RNAcentral lists this ribosomal RNA (507 nucleotides) under uncultured bacterium. Its description in RNAcentral is "bacterial SSU rRNA". It matches the Rfam family "Bacterial small subunit ribosomal RNA", at positions 62 to 543 of the family's 1533-position model. The record is from RNAcentral.
UCGAACGAGAAUGGAGGCUUCGGCCUCCUAGUAAAGUGGCGGACGGGUGCGUAACACGUGGGUAAUCUACCUUCCGGCGGGGGACAACAGUCCGAAAGGAUUGCUAAUACCGCAUACGUCAGCGGCGCCUACGGGCGCUGUUGGGAAAGAUGGCCUCUCCUUGGAAGCUGUCACCGGAAGAUGAGCCCGCGCCCCAUCAGCUAGUUGGUGAGGUAAUGGCUCACCAAGGCUUAGACGGGUAGCUGGUCUGAGAGGAUGAUCAGCCACACUGGGACUGCGACACGGCCCAGACUCCUACGGGAGGCAGCAGUGGGGAAUAUUGGGCAAUGGGCGAAAGCCUGACCCAGCCACGCCGCGUGAGUGAUGAAGGCCUUCGGGUCGUAAAGCUCUGUGGGGAGGGACGAACAAGCCCGGUGCUAAUAUCACCGGGCCCUGACGGUACCUCCUUAGCAAGCACCGGCUAACCCUGUGCCAGCAGCCGCGGUAAUACAGGGGGUGCAAACGUUG